This 254-nucleotide ribosomal RNA is filed under the name uncultured bacterium. Its description in RNAcentral is "partial 16S ribosomal RNA". It matches the Rfam family "Bacterial small subunit ribosomal RNA", at positions 524 to 776 of the family's 1533-position model. The record is from RNAcentral.
UACGGGGGGGGGUAAGCGUUGUUCGGAAUUACUGGGCGUAAAGGGCCAGUAGUCGGCCAACUAAGUCCGACGUGAAAUCCCAAGGCUUAACCUUGGAACUGCGUCGGAUACUGGAUGGCUUGAAUUCGGGAGAGGGAUGCAGAAUUCCAGGUGUAGCGGUGAAAUGCGUAGAUAUCUGGAGGAAUACCGGUGGCGAAGGCGGCAUCCUGGACCGACAUUGACGCUGAACGGCGAAAGCUAGGGGAGCAAACGGG